AACGUCACAUAAAUGCUGGGACCCUUGAGUGCAAGCGCACCAGCGGCCAAGAUCAUUCUUGGUUCACAGAUUAGGUGGUGACGGUCAAGUUAUUUGCUCGAUUAAGAUAUAAUCGGUCCACCGUCGUAUGACGGUGAGAGAAACGUUCCGUAGGUGAACCUGCGGAAGGAUCAUUA
RNAcentral lists this ribosomal RNA (176 nucleotides) under Staurothele pulvinata. RNAcentral describes it as "partial small subunit ribosomal RNA". Lineage: Eukaryota; Fungi; Ascomycota; Eurotiomycetes; Verrucariales; Verrucariaceae. The record is from RNAcentral.